GACGAACCGUGCGAACGUUGUUCGGAAUCACUGGGCUUAAAGGGCGCGUAGGCGGUCGGGCCAGUCCGGGGUGAAAUCCUGCAGCUCAACUGUAGAAGUGCCUUGGAUACUGCCCGGCUCGAGGGAGGUAGGGGUCUGUGGAACUUCUGGUGGAGCGGUGAAAUGCGUUGAUAUCAGAAGGAACGCCGGUGGCGAAAGCGACAGACUGGACCUCUUCUAACGCUGAGGCGCGAAAGCUAGGGGAGCAAACGGG
This 253-nucleotide ribosomal RNA is filed under the name uncultured bacterium. RNAcentral's name for it is "partial 16S ribosomal RNA". It matches the Rfam family "Bacterial small subunit ribosomal RNA", at positions 524 to 776 of the family's 1533-position model. The record is from RNAcentral.